RNAcentral lists this ribosomal RNA (301 nucleotides) under uncultured bacterium. RNAcentral describes it as "partial 16S ribosomal RNA". It matches the Rfam family "Bacterial small subunit ribosomal RNA", at positions 509 to 807 of the family's 1533-position model. The record is from RNAcentral.
CAGUAGCCGCGGUAAUACAGAGGGUGCGAGCGUUAAUCGGAUUUACUGGGCGUAAAGCGUGCGUAGGCGGCUUUUUAAGUCGGAUGUGAAAUCCCUGAGCUUAACUUAGGAAUUGCAUUCGAUACUGGGAAGCUAGAGUAUGGGAGAGGAUGGUAGAAUUCCAGGUGUAGCGGUGAAAUGAGUAGAGAUCUGGAGGAAUACCGAUGGCGAAGGCAGCCAUCUGGCCUAAUACUGACGCUGAGGUACGAAAGCAUGGGGAGCAAACAGGAUUAGAUACCCCCGUAGUCCCUGUCUCUUAUAC